Molecule: ribosomal RNA, 460 nt
Filed under: uncultured bacterium
Lineage: Bacteria
Description: partial 16S ribosomal RNA
Rfam family: Bacterial small subunit ribosomal RNA
Source: RNAcentral
CCUACGUGUGGCUGCAGUGAGGAAUAUUGCUCAAUGGCCGCAAGGCUGAACCAGCCAAGUCGCGUGAGGGAUGACGGCCCUAUGGAUUGUAAACCUCUUUUAUCAGGGAGCAAAGGGCGCCACGUGUGGCGUUUUGCGAGUACCUUAAGAAAAAGCAUCGGCUAACUCCGUGCCAGCAGCCGCGGUAAUACGGAGGAUCCGAGCGUUAUCCGGAUUUGUUGGGUUUAAAGGGAGCGUAGAUGGGUUGUUAAGUCAGUUGUGAAAGUUUGCGGCUCAACCGUAAAAUUGCAAUUGAUACUGGCAGUCUAGAGUAGAGUUGAGGUAGGCGGAAUUCGUGGUGUAGCGGGGAAAUGCUUAGAUAUCACGAAGAACCCCGAGUGCGAAGGCAGCUUACUAAACUGUGACUGACAUUGAGGCUCGAAAGUGUGGGUAUCAAACAGGAUUAGAUACCCCAGUAGUC